CAAUAGCGUAUAUUAAAGUUGUUGCAGUUAAAAAGCUCGUAGUUGAAUUUUUGCUUGCCGCCGACGUCGGAACUUCCGUACGUUCGGCGGCGUGCAUCCUUGGGUGGAACCUGUGUGGCAUUAGGUUGUCGUGCAGGGGAUGCUCAUCGUUUACUGUGAAAAAAUUAGAGUGUUCAAAGCAGGCUUACGCCGUUGAAUAUAUUAGCAUGGAAUAAUAAGAUAGGACCUUGGUACUAUUUUGUUGGUUUGCGCACCGAGGUAAUGAUUAACAGGGACAGUUGGGGGUAUUCGUAUUCCAUUGUCAGAGGUGAAAUUCUUGGAUUUCUGGAAGACGAACUACUGCGAAAGCAUUUACCAAGGAUGUUUUCAUUAA
Molecule: ribosomal RNA, 373 nt
Filed under: uncultured eukaryote
Lineage: Eukaryota
Description: partial 18S ribosomal RNA
Rfam family: Eukaryotic small subunit ribosomal RNA
Source: RNAcentral